AUUGAACGCUGGCGGCAGGCCUAACACAUGCCAGUCGAACGGUAACAGGAAGAAGCUUGCUUCUUUGCUGACGAGUGGCGGACGGGUGAGUAAUGUCUGGGAAACUGCCUGAUGGAGGGGGAUAACUACUGGAAACGGUAGCUAAUACCGCAUAACGUCGCAAGACCAAAAGGGGGGACUGCGGGACGGUUUUCCUGGGACUUGCCCAUACGGGAUUAGCUAGUAGGUGGGGUAACGGCUCACCUAGGCGACGAUCCGUAGCUGGUCUGAGAGGAUGACCAGCCACACUGGAACUGAGACACGGUCCAGACUCCUACGGGAGGCAGCAGUGGGGAAUAUUGCACAAUGGGCGCAAGCCUGAUGCAGCCACGCCGCGUGUAUGAAGAAGGCCUUCGGGUUGUAAAGUACUUUUAGCGGGGAGGAAGGAAGUAAAGUGAAUACCUGCGCGCAUUGACGGUACCCGCAGAAGAAGCCCCGGCUAACUCCGUG
Molecule: ribosomal RNA, 489 nt
Filed under: uncultured bacterium
Lineage: Bacteria
Description: partial 16S ribosomal RNA
Rfam family: Bacterial small subunit ribosomal RNA
Source: RNAcentral